RNAcentral lists this small RNA (693 nucleotides) under Arabidopsis thaliana (thale cress). RNAcentral's name for it is "ATSL090160". The record is from RNAcentral. Lineage: Eukaryota; Viridiplantae; Streptophyta; Magnoliopsida; Brassicales; Brassicaceae.
ACAAAGUAAUUGAAUGUAAAAGACAAAUAACCAAGUAAACGAAGUGUAGAUUCAAGUGAUUAAAGCGUCGGGUCUAAGGAAUUGUCUCGGGAGAUAGAUAAAUUGUAGAUCUAGCUAAUAUAAGGAUUGUUAUGGCACCGUUCUCAAACUCAAACUAAGAUUCUAGAGUAACCGGUGAUGUUCCACAAAACUCUCUUUACUUAGAGCUAAGAUAACCGGAGAAACCGAGAAAUCUUAUACUAAAGCAUGCAUUGUUAUCAAGCUUGAUUAGUUCACCUAGUAUCUAAACCAGAGCCCUUCUAUGAGCCUACAUGUUCUUUCUUAAAUGCCUAAACUCAUCUAUGAUAGUUCAAACAACAAGUACCUAUGGUGGGCAUACCUAUUAUCUAAUAUCACGUUCUAGGUGAUCAAUCUAAAACUAGCAAUAAGAAUAAUCAAGAUGAAGAACUAUAAGAAUAAUCUUAAGGGGUUUUCGAUCUACUAAUCCAUCUAAAUCCCUAUUGAGACUCCCUAAACCCAACAAGGUGAUUACUCAGAUAUGAUAACAGAAACACAAAUCAUAAUCUGACUAGUUUGCAUUGAUGAAUUAGAAAUAGAGUAAAAGGAGUCCAGAAUCCUCUCUACAGGGAUUGGAUUCUUCUCUCCAAAAUGUAUCUCAAUCUCUGAAAAAACAAAACUUAGGUCUAACAAUGA